UCAACACUACAACCAGACUUACGGCGGC
Molecule: small RNA, 28 nt
Filed under: Bombyx mori (domestic silkworm)
Lineage: Eukaryota; Metazoa; Arthropoda; Insecta; Lepidoptera; Bombycidae
Description: ovarian small RNA-24552
Source: RNAcentral